This is a long non-coding RNA of Anolis carolinensis (green anole), 1716 nucleotides long. RefSeq lists it as uncharacterized. The record is from RefSeq and is a predicted model, not a curated record. NCBI's taxonomy places the organism in Eukaryota, Metazoa, Chordata, Lepidosauria, Squamata, Anolidae. The transcript is spliced from 3 exons.
CCAUUAUAUCCCAUGGGAUUGUGUAUUUGUAGAUUGAUGAGGCAAUAAAGCUCUUGCUGAAAAUUCUAAAUGCUUCUCACUGAACUGCAAAUCACAGGAUUCCAAGAGAUGCAGUUAAAGUGGUAUAUAGCAUCACUAUUGUUAAAGUACCUAAUAAUUGCUAUCAUAUUAUAUGCAAUUCUGUGAUGAGACAACUCUUUCUGGUUCAGCUCUGCCUUGGAUCUGAACUGGAGCCUAUCAAGUCAUUGCCACAUACCAUUUCAUGACAGGUGUAACUGUUAUUGCUCUGGGAACAGUGAAUCUAUUUUCAGUUUUCCAGACCCUUCUCCUUUAACAAUGACAGGAGCCAGGACAAAAACUAUGGUUGGAGUAUCCCAUAGUCUACUCUUCUCAUAUGUAAGCAAGUGUAGGAUGAAGCCUGAGGACUGCUGUAUCCAUUGGAAAUGGAGAAGCUUUACAGGCUAUCUAGCCAUCCAGGAGCCAGAAGAGAGGAACAUAUCACUGGAGCCGGACAAGGAGCUGGCCUAAUCAAGGAGGGGCAAUAGACUGCUUACUCCUGAGUGAACUGUUAAAGAUGUUACUGAUUCAAAUUUGGCAUGUGGAAAGCAUUACGAUUCCAGUGCAGUAUAUUACAGUUAGGUGUUGCAUUACCAAGAUCAGAAAUAAGGCACAUCACAACAAAGAAGUAAAAAAGAUGACCAUGAGAUGGAUGGAUUCAAUCAAGAAAUCUUGGCACUGAGCCUUGUGCUUGAUGGAAGAGGACGACAUCCCAGGUAUAAAAGGAGUGUUCUGAGGUCUCCAGUCUUUGGUUCCAGGUAUAACGAUAGCUGAGUUCCUCUGUUAGAACCUCGAAAGACCUGAGUUGAUAACUAUUGAUAACUGAGAAUUGUGGAGGCUUCUUGUUAAUUACGUUGUCUUAAGUCAAAGCCAACCAAUUCUUAGAGAGCUGUUCUCUGGGUAAAAAACCCAGCAAUUUAUUUAUUUGUGCUUUUUUACUUUUACUGGGGUCUUGUGCCCCUAAUUACAGCAAAUGUGGAAGGCUCGUUGCAAUGCCCUUUCCAUCCAUUUUUAAAUAGCAUAUUGGUAGGUCAAAACCGCAGGUCAACCAGGAUCAUAUUUAAAUAUGUUUGGAAGAGGAGUGUCUAUCUUAACACAAAAGCUACAGCAAAUCUCAAAGAUGCUGGAACUCUUCUUUCCCCCAUGUCAUUAUUAGAGUCUGGAGGUUUGGAAGAAGAAGCAUGAAGAAAGAAUCUGGGUCACGAUAGUGUAGGAUUUCACUAGGAGGUCAAACCCCUUAUGGCAUGAGGCCAUCGUAUAUCUGUUUGGAAUAAAAGAGGCCUGUUUCAAAGGCUUCUUUGACUUAGUAUUCAGCAGCUCUACUAACUUGUUACUUCAGAUCACACAGGAAUACUAUCUGAUAGAACAAAUGCAGGGAAAAAAUAGGACAUAUUUUAAAAAGCCAGUUUAAGGACAUAAGAGCCAAGCUAUAGGUUUAGUUUCAUCAAUACGACCCAUGUUUGGCCAGGUGACACCAGAGGGUUCAUUUACACUGUAGAAUGAAUAUAGUUUGACACCACUUGAAUUGUCAAACUACAAUCCCCAAGCUUCUAUAGCAUUGAGCCAUAGCAAUUAAAGUGGCAUCAAACUUUAUUAAAUAUACAGUGGAGAUACACUCAGAUGUAUAGCCACCCAAACACAUAGAAUCAGAGAGUUGGA